AUUGAACGCUGGCGGCAUGCCUAACACAUGCAAGUCGAACGGCAGCACGGGAGCUUGCUCCUGGUGGCGAGUGGCGGACGGGUGAGUAAUGCAUAGGAAUCUGCCCAGUAGCGGGGGACAACUUGGGGAAACUCAAGCUAAUACCGCAUACGCCCUACGGGGAAAGCGGGGACCGUUCGGGCCUCGCACUAUUGGAUGAGCCUAUGUCAGAUUAGCUUGUUGGUGGGGUAAAGGCCUACCAAGGCGACGAUCUGUAGCUGGUCUGAGAGGACGAUCAGCCACACUGGGACUGAGACACGGCCCAGACUCCUACGGGAGGCAGCAGUGGGGAAUUUUGGACAAUGGGCGCAAGCCUGAUCCAGCAAUGCCGCGUGAGUGAAGAAGGCCUCGGUUGUAAGACUCUUUCAGUCGAGAAGAAAGGGACGUGCAGUGAAUAACU
Molecule: ribosomal RNA, 439 nt
Filed under: uncultured bacterium
Lineage: Bacteria
Description: bacterial SSU rRNA
Rfam family: Bacterial small subunit ribosomal RNA
Source: RNAcentral